This 515-nucleotide ribosomal RNA is filed under the name uncultured bacterium. RNAcentral's name for it is "partial 16S ribosomal RNA". It matches the Rfam family "Bacterial small subunit ribosomal RNA", at positions 28 to 523 of the family's 1533-position model. The record is from RNAcentral.
GAUGAACGCUGGCGGCGUGCCUAAUACAUGCAAGUCGAGCGAAUGGAUUAAGAGCUUGCUCUUAUGAAGUUAGCGGCGGACGGGUGAGUAACACGUGGGUAACCUGCCCAUAAGACUGGGAUAACUCCGGGAAACCGGGGCUAAUACCGGAUAAUAUUUUGAACCGCAUGGUUCGAAAUUGAAAGGCGGCUUCGGCUGUCACUUAUGGAUGGACCCGCGUCGCAUUAGCUAGUUGGUGAGGUAACGGCUCACCAAGGCAACGAUGCGUAGCCGAGCUGAGAGGGUGAUCGGCCACACUGGGACUGAGACACGGCCCAGACUCCUACGGGAGGCAGCAGUAGAGAAUCUUCCGCAAUGGACGAAAGUCUGACGGAGCAACGCCGCGUGAGUGAUGAAGGCUUUCGGGUCGUAAAACUCUGUUGUUAGGGAAGAACAAGUGCUAGUUGAAUAAGCUGGCACCUUGACGGUACCUAACCAGAAAGCCACGGCUAACUACGUGCCAGCCGCCGCAGUAA